This is a non-coding RNA of Sus scrofa (pig), 1456 nucleotides long. The record is from RefSeq and is a predicted model, not a curated record. NCBI's taxonomy places the organism in Eukaryota, Metazoa, Chordata, Mammalia, Artiodactyla, Suidae.
AUGCACUGAGCAAGGCCAGGGAUAGAAUCCACAUCUUCAUGGACACUAGUCAGAUUUGUUCCCACUUUGCCACAACAGGAACUCCCUAGAGCUUAUUUUAAAUGGAUAUAGAAAUACAGACAUGAAAAAACAUAUGAUGUUUUGUAUUAUUUUCUUGCCAACCCAUAGUAGUUGCUAAGUAACAAAAUGACAAGGCAAGAAUGUCCUUUGCUUCAAACUCUUACCAAGUUGCACCACAGUCUUUGGGGUAAACCUCUGAGGCCAGUGAGCACACUGGGAAGUAUGAGGCCCUGAGAAAUGGAAAAUACUGGGCUCUAGAGCUACGUCUCUAUGAUCAGCCUGACCACCUCAGCCAUGCCAUCGCCCUGGGCUCCAGCUUCCCAUUUGUUAAAUAAAAGGAUUGCACUAGAUUUGAAGCUCUAGCUGUAAAAUAAAUUUUUCUGUUUGAAACAGGUGGUAGAGUUCCCGGGGAACGCCCAGGGCUUCAUGAUGGGGUUUUGGAAAACUGCUAGACCAAAUGGACCGAAGAAUCUGUCCCUUCUUGCCUGACAGUUCCACAUCCAAGAUCAAUGCCCCCUCAUAGGUUAAACUGAAAUCCGCUUGUGUCAUUGAUUGGUGCAGUUACUUCUCCGAUGUUGUGUCGCCACCUUGUGGCUAAUUUGCUUUAUUGGUCUAGAAGGUGACACCAUGUCAGCCAUUUCAGAUGAAAGCAGCAGAGCCAGGUGAAGGCAGGAGCAGUCUGGAGAGGAUCUGUGAGGUGAGGACUGAAGGAAAUGGAAAAAGACUGCUCCUGAAUCUUACUGGCUUUUCCUAAAACCUGUGGCAAGAUCUUCAGGAAAAUCAAGAUUCAACAGGUUUUAACAUUUUCAAAGUAAAACAUUAGGAGGAAACUAUCAGGCACCAGUCUUUGCUUUAGACCUAUGGUCAGUGGAAGAACUAAAAAGAGAAUAAAGAUUAGUUGCUGGAAGGCAGAAAUCAUGAUGAAAGUUACACAUUUCAUACAUGUACAAGAUUCAACACAGAAGCGCACAUGAAGAAGUACCCUUAAUAAACUAUCUGGUAAGUCUGUUAGAGCAGAAAAUAUAAUAAGCAUUCCCUAAUCUUUUCUCCAAUCCCAGCCUUCUAACCACUUUCAUACUCACUUCCAGGCACAGGAACAAAAGCUUUUCUCCAUGUUUUUUGUUUGUUUGUUUUUAAUGCAUCAUUAGGUGAUAAGAAAAGUGGGUAGGCUAGAAAUCAGCAUGACUGUUUACUUACCUUGGUUCCAACUUUAGACAUUUUGGGUGCAUAGAUUGGUUUCCCCAGUGCUGAAAGCCAGGAAUAGCUACAGAGUUAGAGGCACAGAGACAUUUAUACUGGGCUGGUUUCAAAUCAAACAUUUGCUUAGUCAUGAGAAUAGGAUCCAAAAAUUGAGUCAGUCAUUUAGAGGCUAUUGAUGGUUUCUAGAAAAACAAUC